CGGGAUGUAGCGCAGUUGGUAGCGCGCUUGCUUUGGGAGCAAGAUGUCACAAGUUCGAUCCUUGUCAUCCCGA
RNAcentral lists this transfer RNA (73 nucleotides) under Dulcicalothrix desertica PCC 7102. RNAcentral's name for it is "Calothrix desertica PCC 7102 tRNA". It matches the Rfam family "tRNA". Rfam says of the family: Transfer RNA (tRNA) molecules are approximately 80 nucleotides in length. Their secondary structure includes four short double-helical elements and three loops (D, anti-codon, and T loops). The record is from Rfam by way of RNAcentral. Lineage: Bacteria; Bacillati; Cyanobacteriota; Cyanophyceae; Nostocales; Calotrichaceae.